UAUUCUAGGAUCUUCAGUCGAGUCCAUCUGUUAAUAUUCAUUAACUUUCCAUCAAGUUUCUUUGGAAUGAAGUCAUUUUAUUGCAUAGAAUAUCUAAAGUAGUCUUGAAAACAUAGAUGAAAAUUGAUGAAAGUACUCAAUCAAAAAAUCAAGAAAACAUUUGGAUCCUAAUUGUUAAGAGUUAUAAAUUGGGAAUUCAAUCCAAAAUGCGCACACUUACAGACUAAAUUGAGGUUUACCUUGAAUUCUUUUGUGGCAGUAAACUUUACCCACUACCUGGAUUCCUUGUACUGCUUUAGCGCUUCAUGGAUGCUCCAAAGAUGAUAAAAGGUGCUGGAGGAGAAGAUUGAAGGAAGGAAUCUUUUGGCGAGACGUAAAAAACAGCUGCAACAUUAUGGCGGGGACAAGAGUUGAACACGGGAUGCAAAUGGGAAACGG
Long non-coding RNA from Populus euphratica (Euphrates poplar), 438 nucleotides. RefSeq lists it as uncharacterized. The record is from RefSeq and is a predicted model, not a curated record. The transcript has 2 exons. NCBI's taxonomy places the organism in Eukaryota, Viridiplantae, Streptophyta, Magnoliopsida, Malpighiales, Salicaceae.